UUGGUUAGAACUCACUACAGGUUGACGUCGCAAUGGCGUCAACACACCGCUCUGCACCACGAAACCGCCCUGGCGUGUUCGGAGCGGAGCGGAGCUCGCCACGCCGGCAGCGAGCACCAUGGCAGAUGCAUUCUGCCCGGCCUCGACGAGAGGUCGACGGGAGAUAUAACAGUCAAC
Pseudomonas batumici is the source of this 177-nucleotide non-coding RNA. The record is from Rfam. Lineage: Bacteria; Pseudomonadati; Pseudomonadota; Gammaproteobacteria; Pseudomonadales; Pseudomonadaceae.